GCCUGGGUGGCUCAGUGGUUGAGCAUCUGUCUUUGGCUCAGGUUGUGAUCCCCGGGUG
Canis lupus familiaris (dog) is the source of this 58-nucleotide non-coding RNA. NCBI's taxonomy places the organism in Eukaryota, Metazoa, Chordata, Mammalia, Carnivora, Canidae. The record is from Rfam.